UAACGACUCUCGGCAACGGAUAUCUCGGCUCACGCAUCGAUGAAGAACGUAGCAAAAUGCGAUACUUGGUGUGAAUUGCAGAAUCCCGUGAACCAUCGAGUUUUUGAACGCAAGUUGCGCCCGAAACCAUCCGGUUGAGGGCACGUCUGCCUGGGCGUCACGCA
RNAcentral lists this ribosomal RNA (164 nucleotides) under Flaveria ramosissima. RNAcentral's name for it is "5.8S ribosomal RNA". It matches the Rfam family "5.8S ribosomal RNA". Rfam says of the family: 5.8S ribosomal RNA (5.8S rRNA) is a component of the large subunit of the eukaryotic ribosome. It is transcribed by RNA polymerase I as part of the 45S precursor that also contains 18S and 28S rRNA. The record is from RNAcentral. Lineage: Eukaryota; Viridiplantae; Streptophyta; Magnoliopsida; Asterales; Asteraceae.